Molecule: ribosomal RNA, 492 nt
Filed under: uncultured bacterium
Lineage: Bacteria
Description: partial 16S ribosomal RNA
Rfam family: Bacterial small subunit ribosomal RNA
Source: RNAcentral
AGUGAACGCUGGCGGUAGGCCUAACACAUGCCAGUCGAACGGCAGCACAGUAAGAGCUUGCUCUUACGGGUGGCGAGUGGCGUACGGGUGAGGAAUAUAUCGUACUCUACUUUUUCGUGGGGGAUAACGUAGGGAAACUUACUCUAAUACCGCAUACGACCUACGGGUGAAAGCAGGGGAUCUUCGCACCUUGCGCGAUUGAAUGAGCGGAUGUCGGAUUAGCUAGUUGGCGGGGUAAAGGCCCACCAAGGCGACGAUCCGUAGCUGGUCUGAGAGGAGGAUCAGCGACACUGGAACUGAGACACGGUCCAGACUCCUACGGGAGGCAGCAGUGGGGAAUAGUGGACAAUGGGCGCAAGCCUGAUCCAGCCAUACCGCGUGGGUGAAGAAGGCCUUCGGGUUGGAAAGCCCUUUUGUUGGGAAAGAAAAGCAGCAGGUUAAUACCCCGCUGUUCUGACGGUACCCAAAGAAUAAGCACCGGCUAACUUCGUG